RNAcentral lists this ribosomal RNA (462 nucleotides) under uncultured bacterium. RNAcentral's name for it is "bacterial SSU rRNA". It matches the Rfam family "Bacterial small subunit ribosomal RNA", at positions 355 to 825 of the family's 1533-position model. The record is from RNAcentral.
UAAGGAAUAUUGCGCAAUGGGCGACAGCCUGACGCAGCGACGCCGCGUGGGGGAUGAAGGUCUUCGGAUUGUAAACCCCUUUCGGCAGGGAAGAUGGAACGGGUAACCGUUCGGACGGUACCUGCAGAAGCAGCCACGGCUAACUUCGUGCCAGCAGCCGCGGUAAUACGAAGGUGGCAAGCGUUGUUCGGAUUUACUGGGCGUACAGGGAGCGUAGGCGGUUGGGUAAGCCCUCCGUGAAAUCUCCGGGCCUAACCCGGAAAGUGCGGAGGGGACUGCUCGGCUAGAGGAUGGGAGAGGAGCGCGGAAUUCCCGGUGUAGCGGUGAAAUGCGUAGAGAUCGGGAGGAAGGCCGGUGGCGAAGGCGGCGCUCUGGAACAUAUCUGACGCUGAGGCUCGAACGCGUGGGGAGCAAACAGGAUUAGAUACCCUCGUAGUCCCUGAGCGGGCUGGCAAGGCGCAU